Molecule: ribosomal RNA, 860 nt
Filed under: uncultured Thermotogae bacterium
Lineage: Bacteria; Thermotogati; Thermotogota; Thermotogae
Description: bacterial SSU rRNA
Rfam family: Bacterial small subunit ribosomal RNA
Source: RNAcentral
GGGUGAACGCUGGCGGCGUGCUUGACACAUGCAAGUCGAACGGUAUGUGGCAACACAUAGAGUGGCGAACGGGUGAGUAACACGUGGGAACGUACCAUCUGCAAGGGGAUAACUGACCGAAAGGACAGCUAAUACCGCAUAAGUCCGGAAGGAGAAAGGUGCAAUAGCAUCGGCAGAAGAGCGGCCCGCGGUCCAUCAGCUAGUUGGUGAGGUAGGGGCUUACCAAGGCGACGACGGAUAGCCGGCGUGAGAGCGUGGCCGGCCACAAGGACACUGAGAUACGGGUCCUACUCCUACGGGAGGCAGCAGUGCGGAAUUUUAGAUAAUGGAGGGAACUCUGAUCUAGCAACGCCGCGUGCAGGAAGAAGGUCUUCGGAUUGUAAACUGCUGUGGUAAGGGAAAAAUGCUAUGUAGAGUGGAAAGCUACAUAGAGGGAUGGUACCUAACUAGAAAGCCCCGGCUAACUACGUGCCAGCAGCCGCGGUAAUACGUAGGGGGCGAGCGUUACCCGGAAUCACUGGGCGUAAAGGGAGCGUAGGUGGCCUAACAUGUCAACUGUGAAAACCCGGAGCUCAACUCCGGACUUGCAGUUGAAACUGGUAGGCUUGAGGACGGUAGAGGAAGACGGAACUGCCAGUGUAGGGGUAAAAUCCUUAGAUAUUGGCAGGAACGCCGGUGACGAAGGUGGUUUUCUGGGCCGGUUCUGACACUGAUGCUCGAAAGCCAGGGGAGCGAACGGGAUUAGAUACCCCGGUAGUCCUGGCCCUAAACGAUGUUCACUAGGUGUGGGGAGCGGAAAGCCCUCCGUGCUAAGGCUAACGCGAUAAGUGAACCGCCUGGGGAGUACGCCCGCAAGGGUG